RNAcentral lists this ribosomal RNA (464 nucleotides) under uncultured Klebsiella sp. RNAcentral's name for it is "bacterial SSU rRNA". It matches the Rfam family "Bacterial small subunit ribosomal RNA", at positions 338 to 795 of the family's 1533-position model. Lineage: Bacteria; Pseudomonadati; Pseudomonadota; Gammaproteobacteria; Enterobacterales; Enterobacteriaceae. The record is from RNAcentral.
CCUACGGGAGGCAGCAGUGGGGAAUAUUGCACAAUGGGCGCAAGCCUGAUGCAGCCAUGCCGCGUGUGUGAAGAAGGCCUUCGGGUUGUAAAGCACUUUCAGCGGGGAGGAAGGCGGUGAGGUUAAUAACCUCAUCGAUUGACGUUACCCGCAGAAGAAGCACCGGCUAACUCCGUGCCAGCAGCCGCGGUAAUACGGAGGGUGCAAGCGUUAAUCGGAAUUACUGGGCGUAAAGCGCACGCAGGCGGUCUGUCACGUCGGAUGUGAAAUCCCCGGGCUCAGCCUGGGAACUGCAUUCGAAACUGGCAGGCUAGAGUCUUGUAGAGGGGGGUAGAAUUCCAGGUGUAGCGGUGAAAUGCGUAGAGAUCUGGAGGAAUACCGGUGGCGAAGGCGGCCCCCUGGACAAAGACUGACGCUCAGGUGCGAAAGCGUGGGGAGCAAACAGGAUUAAUACCCGGGUAGUC